Molecule: long non-coding RNA, 864 nt
Organism: Papilio polytes (common Mormon)
Lineage: Eukaryota; Metazoa; Arthropoda; Insecta; Lepidoptera; Papilionidae
Exons: 4
Source: RefSeq, a predicted model, not a curated record
ACAUAAAUAACCAAGUUAAAUUGUUGACCUCAGAAAAUAGUAAGAAACUAAGAAACGAAUGUUUGCAUGUUAUUUCGACUUUACCUUACUCCCGGGGUCGUAGAUGACGGAAUUCAAACGAGGUUAGAUUCAACAUUAUGAUAGAUAGCAAUUUACAAGGCAAGACAACGAAAUGCUAUACCAUUCUAUAACGAAACAUCGAUAAUUGAAAAAUGGGGGAUUAUAAAGUUUUCUUGCCAUCUUCGCCUGUAACGUCUGAUGAAUAUUAAAAGAAGCAAGCUUAUAAAACGACUGCUGUUACGAAAAAAAGUUCUUCCCAGUUAUUUCUGCGGACUCGUUAUUGGACUAUGAUAUCAGUAUACAACGGCGUGCAAUCCAUCCUCAUGAAUAAGACAAUUCUCCCUUAUUGGAGUACCUUCUAGCAGGGCAGUGGCGUAGCGCAAACGAGGCUCGCGGCGGUGUAUCCUGCAGGAGACGUCCCCCCGCAACUCCCAGCUCCUCCGGGAGGACCAUUCAGCUGCCGAAUGCAAACGAGGCAGGAGCGGGGGCGCUGCGAGCGACGAGGUCGCUGCACAUCAAAGUAUGCAGCCUCACCUCGUUAUCCGUCCCGGCGAACAAGCACACACGCUAUCCCUGCUGUAUGCAAACGAUGCCUGAUUAAAGUUAUUAAUGUUUUCUCUUCAAUUAACAAGGUCAUAAUAAGUUCUCACAAGAGUUGCCUUUAGGAUGGACAAAAUUAAGAUUGUAAUACAGGUAAAAUACUCUAAUAUGUGACCGUUGCCCUGCUGAAACACGUACAGUACAUUAUAUUUAUUACUUUCAUUUCCAAAAAACAGAGAUAACAUGUUUUUGUAUAAGUAGAAA